This 468-nucleotide ribosomal RNA is filed under the name uncultured bacterium. Its description in RNAcentral is "partial 16S ribosomal RNA". It matches the Rfam family "Bacterial small subunit ribosomal RNA", at positions 28 to 507 of the family's 1533-position model. The record is from RNAcentral.
GACGAACGCUGGCGGCGUGCUUAACACAUGCAAGUCGAACGGAAAGGCCCUGCUUUUGUGGGGUGCUCGAGUGGCGAUCGGGUGAGUAACACGUGAGUAACCUGCCCUUGACUUUGGGAUAACUUCAGGAAACUGGGGCUAAUACCGGAUAGGAGCUCCUGCUGCAUGGUGGGGGUUGGAAAGUUUCGGCGGUUGGGGAUGGACUCGCGGCUUAUCAGCUUGUUGGUGGGGUAGUGGCUUACCAAGGCUUUGACGGGUAGCCGGCCUGAGAGGGUGACCGGCCACAUUGGGACUGAGAUACGGACCAGACUCCUACGGGACGCAGCAGUCGGGAAUAUUGCACAAUAGGCCGAAGCCUGAUGCAGCAACGCCGCGUGCGGGAUGACGGCCUUCGGGUUGUAAACCGCUUUCGCCUGUGACGAAGCGUGAGUGACGGUAAUGGGUAAAGAAGCACCGGCUAACUACGUG